RNAcentral lists this ribosomal RNA (984 nucleotides) under Bacillus sp. (in: firmicutes). RNAcentral's name for it is "bacterial SSU rRNA". It matches the Rfam family "Bacterial small subunit ribosomal RNA", at positions 94 to 1061 of the family's 1533-position model. Lineage: Bacteria; Bacillati; Bacillota; Bacilli; Caryophanales; Bacillaceae. The record is from RNAcentral.
AGCGGCGGACGGGUGAGUAACACGUGGGCAACCUGCCUGUAAGACUGGGAUAACUCCGGGAAACCGGAGCUAAUACCGGAUAGUAUCUUGAACCGCAUGGUUCAAGUUGGAAAGACGGUUUCGGCUGUCACUUACAGAUGGGCCCGCGGCGCAUUAGCUAGUUGGUGAGGUAAUGGCUCACCAAGGCAACGAUGCGUAGCCGACCUGAGAGGGUGAUCGGCCACACUGGGACUGAGACACGGCCCAGACUCCUACGGGAGGCAGCAGUAGGGAAUCUUCCGCAAUGGACGAAAGUCUGACGGAGCAACGCCGCGUGAGUGAUGAAGGUUUUCGGAUCGUAAAACUCUGUUGUUAGGGAAGAACAAGUGCGAGAGUAACUGCUCGCACCUUGACGGUACCUAACCAGAAAGCCACGGCUAACUACGUGCCAGCAGCCGCGGUAAUACGUAGGUGGCAAGCGUUGUCCGGAAUUAUUGGGCGUAAAGCGCGCGCAGGCGGUUUCUUAAGUCUGAUGUGAAAGCCCCCGGCUCAACCGGGGAGGGUCAUUGGAAACUGGGAAACUUGAGUGCAGAAGAGGAGAGUGGAAUUCCACGUGUAGCGGUGAAAUGCGUAGAGAUGUGGAGGAACACCAGUGGCGAAGGCGACUCUCUGGUCUGUAACUGACGCUGAGGCGCGAAAGCGUGGGGAGCGAACAGGAUUAGAUACCCUGGUAGUCCACGCCGUAAACGAUGAGUGCUAAGUGUUAGAGGGUUUCCGCCCUUUAGUGCUGCAGCUAACGCAUUAAGCACUCCGCCUGGGGAGUACGGUCGCAAGACUGAAACUCAAAGGAAUUGACGGGGGCCCGCACAAGCGGUGGAGCAUGUGGUUUAAUUCGAAGCAACGCGAAGAACCUUACCAGGUCUUGACAUCCUUUGCCACUUCUAGAGAUAGAAGGUUCCCCUUCGGGGGACAAAGUGACAGGUGGUGCAUGGUUGUCGUCAGCUC